UUUAUUGUAGAAAGGAGAGACGUUUAGCACCCUCUAGACAAGGAUGAAACACACAUAAAUUGGUAAGGCACUUGUCCUUUGGCGACAGUUACCAAAUUUUA
RNAcentral lists this non-coding RNA (101 nucleotides) under Melipona quadrifasciata. The record is from RNAcentral. Lineage: Eukaryota; Metazoa; Arthropoda; Insecta; Hymenoptera; Apidae.